CAACACAAUCACAAAUUUUGUGCAAGGAUAUGUUCUUUCUAUUUUAUUACGUCAGAGAUAAAAACAAUUUAUGGUUAAAUAGAGCCACACCUCAAUCGAAAAUAUUAUAAAUUUUACUACUCCUUGAGUCCUUGUUUGUGUGUACGUGAGGCUGUCAGAGAGAAAAACAAAAAAAGAGGGAAAAACAUAUAGGGAGUUCAUCAAAGAAUCUGCUUUGUCAAAAUCUUCAACUACCAUUGAUUCGAUUCGGUGAUUGCAUUCCUUCGACGAUUAUUUCAUCUUUGCUAUUCUUGCAUUCGGAGUUAAGGUGAUCAAGGGGGCGUUGGGAAUGAGGGAAGAGCGUAGACUGAAGUGGAUCUAGCACCUUUGUUCUAGAGUUUAAUUUAUGAAUAAGCACUUUAUAUUAUAUAUAUAAAGACCUUUUUAUAUUUUGUCCAGUUGACUUUAGUUUGAAUUUGACUUGACUUUUGAAUAAGAUUAACGCCCAUUUGCCUUUAA
Molecule: long non-coding RNA, 498 nt
Organism: Erigeron canadensis
Lineage: Eukaryota; Viridiplantae; Streptophyta; Magnoliopsida; Asterales; Asteraceae
Exons: 3
Source: RefSeq, a predicted model, not a curated record